RNAcentral lists this ribosomal RNA (653 nucleotides) under uncultured bacterium. RNAcentral describes it as "bacterial SSU rRNA". It matches the Rfam family "Bacterial small subunit ribosomal RNA", at positions 54 to 719 of the family's 1533-position model. The record is from RNAcentral.
CGUGCAGUCGAACGGAAAGGCCCUGCUUUUGUGGGGUGCUCGAGUGGCGAACGGGUGAGUAACACGUGAGUAACCUGCCCUUGACUUUGGGAUAACUUCAGGAAACUGGGGCUAAUACCGGAUAGGAGCUCCUGCUGCAUGGUGGGGGUUGGAAAGUUUCGGCGGUUGGGGAUGGACUCGCGGCUUAUCAGCUUGUUGGUGGGGUAGUGGCUUACCAAGGCUUUGACGGGUAGCCGGCCUGAGAGGGUGACCGGCCACAUUGGGACUGAGAUACGGCCCAGACUCCUACGGGAGGCAGCAGUGGGGAAUAUUGCACAAUGGGCGGAAGCCUGAUGCAGCAACGCCGCGUGCGGGAUGACGGCCUUCGGGUUGUAAACCGCUUUCGCCUGUGACGAAGCGUGAGUGACGGUAAUGGGUAAAGAAGCACCGGCUAACUACGUGCCGGCAGCCGCGGUGAUACGUAGGGUGCGAGCGUUGUCCGGAUUUAUUGGGCGUAAAGGGCUCGUAGGCGGUUGAUCGCGUCGGAAGUGUAAUCUUGGGGCUUAACCCUGAGCGUGCUUUCGAUACGGGUUGACUUGAGGAAGGUAGGGGAGAAUGGAAUUCCUGGUGGAGCGGUGGAAUGCGCAGAUAUCAGGAGGAACACCAGUGGCGAA